CAGUCGAACGACUCUGGUAUUGAUUGGUGCUUGCAUCAUGAUUUACAUUUGAGUGAGUGGCGAACUGGUGAGUAACACGUGGGAAACCUGCCCAGAAGCGGGGGAUAACACCUGGAAACAGAUGCUAAUACCGCAUAACAACUUGGACCGCAUGGUCCGAGCUUGAAAGAUGGCUUCGGCUAUCACUUUUGGAUGGUCCCGCGGCGUAUUAGCUAGAUGGUGGGGUAACGGCUCACCAUGGCAAUGAUACGUAGCCGACCUGAGAGGGUAAUCGGCCACAUUGGGACUGAGACACGGCCCAAACUCCUACGGGAGGCAGCAGUAGGGAAUCUUCCACAAUGGACGAAAGUCUGAUGGAGCAACGCCGCGUGAGUGAAGAAGGGUUUCGGCUCGUAAAACUCUGUUGUUAAAGAAGAACAUAUCUGAGAGUAACUGUUCAGGUAUUGACGGUAUUUAACCAGAAAGCCACGGCUAACUACGUGCCAGCAGCCGCGGUAAUACGUAGGUGGCAAGCGUUGUCCGGAUUUAUUGGGCGUAAAGCGAGCGCAGGCGGUUUUUUAAGUCUGAUGUGAAAGCCUUCGGCUCAACCGAAGAAGUGCAUCGGAAACUGGGAAACUUGAGUGCAGAAGAGGACAGUGGAACUCCAUGUGUAGCGGUGAAAUGCGUAGAUAUAUGGAAGAACACCAGUGGCGAAGGCGGCUGUCUGGUCUGUAACUGACGCUGAGGCUCGAAAGUAUGGGUAGCAAACAGGAUUAGAUACCCUGGUAGUCCAUACCGUAAACGAUGAAUGCUAAGUGUUGGAGGGUUUCCGCCCUUCAGUGCUGCAGCUAACGCAUUAAGCAUUCCGCCUGGGGAGUACGGCCGCAAGGCUGAAACUCAAAGGAAUUGACGGGGGCCCGCACAAGCGGUGGAGCAUGUGGUUUAAUUCGAAGCUACGCGAAGAACCUUACCAGGUCUUGACAUACUAUGCAAAUCUAAGAGAUUAGACGUUCCCUUCGGGGACAUGGAUACAGGUGGUGCAUGGUUGUCGUCAGCUCGUGUCGUGAGAUGUUGGGUUAAGUCCCGCAACGAGCGCAACCCUUAUUAUCAGUUGCCAGCAUUAAGUUGGGCACUCUGGUGAGACUGCCGGUGACAAACCGGAGGAAGGUGGGGAUGACGUCAAAUCAUCAUGCCCCUUAUGACCUGGGCUACACACGUGCUACAAUGGAUGGUACAACGAGUUGCGAACUCGCGAGAGUAAGCUAAUCUCUUAAAGCCAUUCUCAGUUCGGAUUGUAGGCUGCAACUCGCCUACAUGAAGUCGGAAUCGCUAGUAAUCGCGGAUCAGCAUGCCGCGGUGAAUACGUUCCCGGGCCUUGUACACACCGCCCGUCACACCAUGAGAGUUUGUAACACCCAAAGUCGGUGG
Molecule: ribosomal RNA, 1407 nt
Filed under: Lactiplantibacillus plantarum
Lineage: Bacteria; Bacillati; Bacillota; Bacilli; Lactobacillales; Lactobacillaceae
Description: bacterial SSU rRNA
Rfam family: Bacterial small subunit ribosomal RNA
Source: RNAcentral